GACGAACGCUGGCGGCGUGCUUAACACAUGCAAGUCGAACGGAAAGGCCCUGCUUUUGUGGGGUGCUCGAGUGGCGAACGGGUGAGUAACACGUGAGUAACCUGCCCUUGACUUUGGGAUAACUUCAGGAAACUGGGGCUAAUACCGGAUAGGAGCUCCUGCUGCAUGGUGGGGGUUGGAAAGUUUCGGCGGUUGGGGAUGGACUCGCGGCUUAUCAGCUUGUUGGUGUGGUAGUGGCUUACCAAGGCUUUGACGGGUAGCCGGCCUGGGAGGGUGACCGGCCACAAUGGGACUGAGAUACGGCCCAGACUCCUACGGGACGCAGCAGUGGGGAGUAUUGCGCAAUGGGCGGAAGCCUGAUGCAGCAACGCCGCGUGCGGGAUGACGGCCUUCGGGUUGUAAACCGCUUUCGCCUGUGACGAAGCGUGAGUGACGGUAAUGGGUAAAGAAGCACCGGCUAACUACGUG
RNAcentral lists this ribosomal RNA (468 nucleotides) under uncultured bacterium. Its description in RNAcentral is "partial 16S ribosomal RNA". It matches the Rfam family "Bacterial small subunit ribosomal RNA", at positions 28 to 507 of the family's 1533-position model. The record is from RNAcentral.